Molecule: transfer RNA, 108 nt
Filed under: Armatimonadota bacterium
Lineage: Bacteria; Bacillati; Armatimonadota
Description: Armatimonadetes bacterium tRNA-OTHER
Rfam family: tRNA
About the family: Transfer RNA (tRNA) molecules are approximately 80 nucleotides in length.
Source: RNAcentral
GGGCGUGUCGCUCAACGGGUAGAGCAGAGUCCCUUGCUGAUUUUUGCCCGCCUGGCGGGCCGAAGGCGAAGGGUUAUCGUGUUGCAAGUUCGAGUCUUGUCACGUCCU